GAUGAACGCUGGCGGCGUGCCUAAUACAUGCAAGUCGAGCGAACAGACGAGGAGCUUGCUCCUCUGACGUUAGCGGCGGACGGGUGAGUAACACGUGGAUAACCUACCUAUAAGACUGGGAUAACUUCGGGAAACCGGAGCUAAUACCGGAUAAUAUAUUGAACCGCAUGGUUCAAUAGUGAAAGACGGUUUUGCUGUCACUUAUAGAUGGAUCCGCGCCGCAUUAGCUAGUUGGUAAGGUAACGGCUUACCAAGGCGACGAUGCGUAGCCGACCUGAGAGGGUGAUCGGCCACACGGGAACUGAGACACGGUCCAGACUCCUAAGGGAGGCAGCAGUAGGGAAUCUUCCGCAAUGGGCGAAAGCCUGACGGAGCAACGCCGCGUGAGUGAUGAAGGUCUUCGGAGCGUAAAACUCUGUUAUUAGGGAAGAACAAAUGUGUAAGUAACUAUGCACGUCUUGACGGUACCUAAUCAGAAAGCCACGGCUAACUACGUG
This 497-nucleotide ribosomal RNA is filed under the name uncultured bacterium. RNAcentral's name for it is "partial 16S ribosomal RNA". It matches the Rfam family "Bacterial small subunit ribosomal RNA", at positions 28 to 507 of the family's 1533-position model. The record is from RNAcentral.